CCUANGGGUGGCAGCAGGGAGGAAUAUUGGGCAAUGGGCGAAAGCCUGACCCAGCAACGCCGCGUGAAGGAUGAAAGCCUUCGGGUCGUAAAGCCCUGUCGUAAGGGAAGAAAUGUUGGGCGGCUAAUACCCGUUCAGCUUGACGGUACCUUAUAAGAAAGCACCGGCUAACUCCGUGCCAGCAGCCGCGGUAAUACGGAGGGUGCGAGCGUUGUUCGGAAUCACUGGGCGUAAAGCGCGUGCAGGCGGCUGGUUAAGUCUGGUGUGAAAGCCCGGGGCUCACCCCCGGAAGUGCGCUGGAAACUGGCUAGCUAGAGUAUGGGAGAGGGAAGUGGAAUUCCUGGUGUAGCGGUGAAAUGCGUAGAUAUCAGGAGGAACAACGGCGGCGAAGGCGGCUUCCUGGACCAAUACUGACGCUGAGACGCGAAAGCGUGGGGAGCAAACAGGAUUAGAUACCCUUNUANUC
This 466-nucleotide ribosomal RNA is filed under the name uncultured bacterium. Its description in RNAcentral is "bacterial SSU rRNA". It matches the Rfam family "Bacterial small subunit ribosomal RNA", at positions 338 to 795 of the family's 1533-position model. The record is from RNAcentral.